This 274-nucleotide ribosomal RNA is filed under the name uncultured bacterium. Its description in RNAcentral is "partial 16S ribosomal RNA". It matches the Rfam family "Bacterial small subunit ribosomal RNA", at positions 523 to 796 of the family's 1533-position model. The record is from RNAcentral.
AGACGGGGGGGGCGAGCGUUGUUCGGAAUUACUGGGCGUAAAGGGCGCGCAGGCGGCUUGGGAAGUCUUGGGUGAAAGCCCCCAGCUCAACUGGGGAACGGCCUGAGAAACCACUAGGCUGGAGUGCUGGAGAGGGAAGCGGAAUUCCCGGUGGAGCGGUGAAAUGCGUAGAUAUCGGGAGGAACACCAGAGGCGAAGGCGGCUUCCUGGACAGACACUGACGCUGAGGCGCGAAAGCUAGGGGAGCAAACAGGAUUAGAAACCCUAGUAGUCC